Molecule: non-coding RNA, 198 nt
Filed under: Clostridium autoethanogenum
Lineage: Bacteria; Bacillati; Bacillota; Clostridia; Eubacteriales; Clostridiaceae
Description: T-box sequence
Rfam family: T-box leader
About the family: Uncharged tRNA acts as the effector for transcription antitermination of genes in the T-box leader family. T-boxes are found upstream of many aminoacyl-tRNA synthetase genes and some amino acid biosynthetic genes usually in Gram-positive bacteria.
Source: RNAcentral
AAGAAAACUGUGAUAGGAAAUAGUAAAUGUAAUUUAUAUUUUAAAGAGAGUGGGGAAAGGUGAAAACCCAUAGAUAUUGUACAUUGAACUCAUCCUUGAGUUAUAGGCUGAAAUUAUAGUAAGCUGUAUCGGCAAAAUGCCGUUAUUGAAUUGAGUAAUAAUUUGGGUGGUACCGCGAACAGACUUCUCGCCCCAAGA